This is a non-coding RNA of Hydra vulgaris (swiftwater hydra), 385 nucleotides long. Lineage: Eukaryota; Metazoa; Cnidaria; Hydrozoa; Anthoathecata; Hydridae. The record is from RefSeq and is a predicted model, not a curated record.
UUUUAGACUUUCAAACAAAACAAAGUUUUUUGUUCAUUCAACAACCAUCUCACAUUCUUCUUAAGGAAGGUUUUAUUAUGAAGGAAUGCGUGCCUCUAUUACUGCCACAUUCAAUAAACUUCUCAUCCUAACCAAAAUUUACAAAUAGCAGAUGAGAGACGUUUUUCAAAUUUAAGAUUCGUGGUGGUGUUCAAGCCCCUAGAUUAUGCCUAAUGCUAAAAGACUAGUUCACGUUUUAAAUUGGUUGGGGGGGGGGUUACAUGCCCCUCCCUAUUGUCAAUAUGUACACCACCAAUAAAUCAAAAAUCUUGAAGAACAAUUUUUUUUUGUUUUUAUACUGUAUACUGAUUUCACUUGUUUUAUUAAAAAUAGAAAUGUUUAUAAA